CAAAAACAUCACCUCCAGCAUAAAAAGUAUUGGAGGCACUGCCUGCCCGUGACUCAAGUUAAACGGCCGCGGUAUCCUGACCGUGCAAAGGUAGCAUAAUCAUUUGUUCCUUAAUUAGGGACUUGUAUGAAAGGCAAGACGAGGGUUUAACUGUCUCUCACCUCCUAUCAGUGAACUUGACCUCCCAGUGAAGAGGCUGGGAUAAGACAAUAAGACGAGAAGACCCUAUGGAGCUUUAACUAGUUAUUUUACUGAAUACAUACACACCCCACCAGGGUAUAAACAAAUUUUUACUAAAAUAACAGUUUCGGUUGGGGUGACCUCGGAGAACAAAUCAUCCUCCGAAUGAAUUUAACUAAGACCUACCCGUCAAAGUGGGUAUUUCCUUCAUAAAUUGACCCAAACCAAUUUGAUCAAUGGACCAAGUUACC
RNAcentral lists this ribosomal RNA (431 nucleotides) under Sicista betulina (Northern birch mouse). RNAcentral describes it as "partial large subunit ribosomal RNA". It matches the Rfam family "Bacterial large subunit ribosomal RNA", at positions 1808 to 2467 of the family's 2925-position model. The record is from RNAcentral. Lineage: Eukaryota; Metazoa; Chordata; Mammalia; Rodentia; Dipodidae.